CACGUAGGGCGAGCGUUGUCCGGAAUUACUGGGCGUAAAGGGCGCGCAGGCUGUUAUGCGAGUCUGCUGUGAAAUGUACCGGCUCAACCGGUGCCUUGCGGCGGAUACUGCAUAGCUGGAGUACUGGAGAGGGAAGUGGAAUUCCCGGUGUAGCAGUGAAAUGCGUAGAGAUCGGAAGGAACAUCUGUGGCGAAGGCGACUAUCUGGGCCAACACUGACACUGAGGCACGAAAGCGUGGGGAGCAAACAGGA
Molecule: ribosomal RNA, 252 nt
Filed under: uncultured prokaryote
Description: partial 16S ribosomal RNA
Rfam family: Bacterial small subunit ribosomal RNA
Source: RNAcentral